Oreochromis niloticus (Nile tilapia) is the source of this 1436-nucleotide long non-coding RNA. RefSeq lists it as uncharacterized. The record is from RefSeq and is a predicted model, not a curated record. The transcript has 3 exons. Lineage: Eukaryota; Metazoa; Chordata; Actinopteri; Cichliformes; Cichlidae.
CAGCCUUUAGUUUUACACUUUUGACCUGAUGCUUUUUUUGCUGACAACCCAGGGAAAAAAAGCUUUUGUCUUUCACAGUCAGUCUUUUUUCAUAACUCUUAACUUUUCAUCUUUUGCUGAGCGCUGUAGAGUUUGAAGGAUAUUUUAAAACAUCAGCAUCCUGCUGGUACCUUCUACAUAUUUAAUAUUCGUCGAUGCAGGAAGCAUCAGUCUUAUUCACUGACUGUGACAAAUUUAAGUAAACACAAGCCAUGUUAAGUAAUUUUAAGUCUUUAUAUUGAACUUAAAGUGUAGGUGAGAAUGUGGCUUUAUGUGAAAAUAAAUUCAGAUAACUUUGGUUUAAAAAAAAAGGUGCUAAGCUCGCCUAGGCCUGGGAAUCUGAGGGUUUCGCGUUGUACCUUUGCUGUUCUAAGGACUUAAUUGUGAUGGACAUAUAGUUUAGAUGAACUGUGAGUCUACUGAAGCCUUUCCCCCAGUGUAGGGGUUCCAGCUCAUAUUACCACUGGCAACAGUUUGAACUUAACCUUCUCAGGUGGGUUGCCUCUAUUACAAUCGUGAUCUUCAGCUCUGUGUCAAUCACAACUAUGUCAGUUUUGUGAGACAUCACCUGCUAAGCUGUCAGUAAAUUAACGUCCCAAGUGGAUGAGAUCUGUCCAGGAUAUGAGCUACAUCUUGUCCAGUGAGAGCUAGGACAGGCUUCAGCCCCCUUGGAGUUCCAAGUUGGCUAAUCGGUUGAGGGGACAAGUCUUUGACAUUAACAUAAGAAGAAACUGGAAGCUGGGAGUCAUCCCCUUCUCUGACUCCCAUAGUCAAACAGGAAACUGAUGAACACCAAGAUGCAUGGAAACCCCUUGAGGUUCCAGCUUGGUUGAACAACAUAAGAGGAGCCUGCCACUGAUCUCAGGAGGAAAAAAAGGACCAAGAAUUACUUUUAUCCCAGUCUUUAGACGUCUGAAGGACUUCCAGAUUGCACUCCAAAACUAUAUACACCAUCAAAGGUGUCCCUUUGAGGAGUGCCAGUUCGCAGUAUGGAUUCAACACUCAGUAGAUGAUGGCGCAGUUUGCUAAAUGCAACUCAAAUCUGAUGGAGCUGGCUCUAUAUGAGGUGAUAAAGGCCCAAGGCAAAGAAAAAUAUUAAGGACACAAAGCACCUUAGCAGUGGCCUCUCUCUUCAGCUGUGGUGUGGGAAAUGAAGCCUGAAGACCAGACAAAGAGUCUCACUAGAAGCUCAUUUCCUCAGGCCAUCAGAAUUCCUAAUGAGGACAAUGCCCCAGGCCUGCAUGGUGGGCCUGUAAGCAAGACAGGGAAAAUGCUCUAUACCUAGUGUAGUCUCAGCACUUCCUUGAAUAAUGAAUGCACAGUCACUGUUGCCCUAAUGCCACGAGCUUGCCACAAGCACUGCAUCUGUAUAUCGUCUACCUCAAAAUAAAUAUUUA